CCCCGGCACCCGCGGACCAAUCGCUGCUCGGGGGAAGGCUCCAGGCCUAUAUAAACGAGUUACGCGCUGGUACGGGUCUUUCGAAGGAUCGUUUUCGCGUCUGUGGAUGACGCCCCGGGAGUGAUGGCUAAUGUUUUCCAUCGCGGUUUAUUGUUGAGCCAAUAAAGUCAGUGAACCCUAA
Molecule: long non-coding RNA, 181 nt
Organism: Onychomys torridus (southern grasshopper mouse)
Lineage: Eukaryota; Metazoa; Chordata; Mammalia; Rodentia; Cricetidae
Exons: 2
Source: RefSeq, a predicted model, not a curated record